AUGAACGCUGGCGGCGUGCCUAAUCCAUGCCAGUCGAGCGAACGGACGAGAAGCUUGCUUCUCUGAUGUUAGCGGCGGACGGGUGAGUAACACGUGGAUAACCUACCUAUAAGACUGGGAUAACUUCGGGAAACCGGAGCUAAUACCGGAUAAUAUUUUGAACCGCAUGGUUCAAAAGUGAAAGACGGUCUUGCUGUCACUUAUAGAUGGAUCCGCGCUGCAUUAGCUAGUUGGUAAGGUAACGGCUUACCAAGGCAACGAUGCAUAGCCGACCUGAGAGGGUGAUCAGCCACACUGGAACUGAGACACGGUCCAGACUCCUACGGGAGGCAGCAGUAGGGAAUCUUCCGCAAUGGGCGAAAGCCUGACGGAGCAACGCCGCGUGAGUGAUGAAGGUCUUCGGAUCGUAAAACUCUGUUAUUAGGGAAGAACAUAUGUGUAAGUAACUGUGCACAUCUUGACGGUACCUAAUCAGAAAGCCACGGCUAACUACGUG
This 496-nucleotide ribosomal RNA is filed under the name uncultured bacterium. Its description in RNAcentral is "partial 16S ribosomal RNA". It matches the Rfam family "Bacterial small subunit ribosomal RNA", at positions 29 to 507 of the family's 1533-position model. The record is from RNAcentral.